This 521-nucleotide ribosomal RNA is filed under the name uncultured bacterium. RNAcentral's name for it is "bacterial SSU rRNA". It matches the Rfam family "Bacterial small subunit ribosomal RNA", at positions 9 to 527 of the family's 1533-position model. The record is from RNAcentral.
GAGUUUGAUCCUGGCUCAGAUUGAACGCUGGCGGCAUGCCUUACACAUGCAAGUCGAACGGUAACGCGGGGCAACCUGGCGACGAGUGGCGAACGGGUGAGUAACGCAUCGGAACGUGCCCAGUAGUGGGGGAUAGCCCGGCGAAAGCCGGAUUAAUACCGCAUACGACCUAAGGGUGAAAGCGGGGGAUCGCAAGACCUUGCGCUAUUGGAGCGGCCGAUGUCAGAUUAGGUAGUUGGUGGGGUAAAGGCCUACCAAGCCUGCGAUCUGUAGCUGGUCUGAGAGGGCGACCAGCCACACUGGGACUGAGACACGGCCCAGACUCCUACGGGAGGCAGCAGUGGGGAAUUUUGGACAAUGGGGGAAACCCUGAUCCAGCCAUGCCGCGUGCGGGAAGAAGGCCUUCGGGUUGUAAACCGCUUUUGUCAGGGAAGAAAAGGCGCAGUCUAAUACGUUGCGACAAUGACGGUACCUGAAGAAUAAGCACCGGCUAACUACGUGCCAGCAGCCGCGGUAAUCCG